CCGCAGUUAAGCGUGCUUGGGCGAGAGUAGUACUAGGAUGGGUGACCUCCUGGGAAGUCCUCGUGUUGCACCCCUGGG
Molecule: ribosomal RNA, 78 nt
Filed under: Melaleuca gracilis
Lineage: Eukaryota; Viridiplantae; Streptophyta; Magnoliopsida; Myrtales; Myrtaceae
Also listed under: 2 other names
Source: RNAcentral